AGCCAUGUGACUUAUCGACACCAUCUGUCCUAUACUAACCCAGAGUGCCAAGUAAUGUAUGCCUUGAAUGUCAUAUUCUGCAAUUCCUUCUGUUUGUGGUUUGUCUUAAAACCAUAACACAUUGUCAGUGACCUAUUGAUUCACACAUAAUUCUUAUCAGAUUUGUAUCUCUGUCUGAGUAUAAAACAAGAUACAGUCACACUUUUCUAAUUUCAGAAUUCUUAGACUGAGGAGCUAACUUUCUUUAUGUCUCUUUUGCCAAAGUUGCCCUCUGUUUUAGUUUCUGUUAAAUUCAUGCAGGUAUACAUAUUUGUCUAAUUGUUACACUACAUAACUAUAUGAAGAAUAACGCAUAUAACAUAUAUACAAAUAACAAUAAGAAAUGGAUACAAAGUAAUUUUUACAACAAAAGAACUUUAAAUUAAUGACCAUUGAUGCUCUUCAUCUUUUAAUUAGCUUUAUUCAUUCAGAGAUAAAAUGUCUGCCUCAUUAAUUUCUUUCUUAAUCUUAUAUAAUAAUGUUUUAUCUUUCCUAAUUUCAUCCACCCACUUUUUCAGUGGAAUUCCACUUGUUUGUGAAACAUUAAAUCCAUUAUUUGUUUUAAACUAUUAAAAAUAUUUAC
Non-coding RNA from Pelobates cultripes (western spadefoot toad), 622 nucleotides. NCBI's taxonomy places the organism in Eukaryota, Metazoa, Chordata, Amphibia, Anura, Pelobatidae. The record is from the annotation of a GenBank genome assembly.